RNAcentral lists this ribosomal RNA (505 nucleotides) under uncultured bacterium. RNAcentral describes it as "bacterial SSU rRNA". It matches the Rfam family "Bacterial small subunit ribosomal RNA", at positions 28 to 532 of the family's 1533-position model. The record is from RNAcentral.
GAUGAACGCUAGCGGCAGGCUUAACACAUGCAAGUCGAGGGGCAGCACGUCUUCGGAUGGUGGCGACCGGCGCACGGGUGAGUAACGCGUAUGCAAUCUACCUUUUACAGGGGCAUAGCCCGGGGAAACCCGGAUUAAUAUCCUAUAGUACCAUUAUAUAGCAUUAUAUUAUGGUUAAAGUUUCGGCGGUAAAAGAUGAGCAUGCGUCCUAUUAGCUUGAUGGUGAGGUAACGGCUUACCAUGGCUAUGAUAGGUAGGGGUCCUGAGAGGGAGACCCCCCACACUGGUACUGAGACACGGACCAGACUCCUACGGGAGGCAGCAGUGAGGAAUAUUGGACAAUGGGCGCAAGCCUGAUCCAGCCAUGCCGCGUGCAGGAAGACGGCCCUAUGGGUUGUAAACUGCUUUUAUACGGGAAGAAACACCCCUUCGUGAAGGGACUUGACGGUACCGUAUGAAUAAGGAUCGGCUAACUCCGUGCCAGCAGCCGCGGUAAUACGGAGGA